CUGCGGUGAAGAGAGUCCUUAUAGCUGCAGUCCCAGGAUCUACUAAUAAUCGCACUUUGACAUAGACUGUGUGAGGGAAUCUUGCAGUGUCUCUACAUUUGGGCCUGCAGGGACACAGUCUAUCUCUGGGUAGAUCCAUCUCAGUCAGCCGAUGCCGGCUCGGAGAAUUUGGCAUGUGGGUUGGGGACGGUGGUAGGGUGGGUGGUUUGAUGGGGUUCCGUCUCCCAGGGAGGCUCUCCAUACAGAUCUGUCCCCUGUACGCACCCGCCCUGAAUGCCGUUUGUCCUCGCUGCUUUCAUCGGAAGUCUGUAGAAGCGGGGAUGUACUCCGUUGGUUGAGGGCUUUGGGUGUCGCUGAGCGGUGAGUGGGUCGGGCGUACUUUAGAGUCCCGUGUUGGCUUGCACGAGGGCUAGUGUUGGCGUCCGACAGGUAUGUCUUCGUUUCCUGCCGCCCUGAUCUUACACCUCGUCUCCGUCUGAGGGCCUCUCUGGGGGCUCGGGGUGGGUCUCUGCUCAUUUGGCGCCGAGUGGCAGGGCGAAUCCACGCAGCCGCUUCUUUUGUCGCCUGCUUGUAGAGCCAUCCCCUGGUGCAGAACUUGGUCCAUAGACCGGUGCAGAGCCGGUCAUAGAAUUCCAGCGUGCAGUCAGGUGGUUUAACAGGGAGGCUUUUAGUCAUGGGUUGUGCUUGUGGCGCCAUCUUGCUUGGGCCUCGACUGCCUCGUUUUCCUGUUAGUGUUGUUACUUGGUCCUGUCUUGCUUUGGGGGUAUUCUUCCCCCACGAGGACCGGGAUAUCCCCUGCCGGUCCACAGGAGGUAUAGCAGGGCUUCUUUAAUUUCUCGCGUGUAAGCAGUUCCUGUGCCGGGCGAUCAACCACCUCCCCCAGGCUGCGGGUUCCACUUCAGUUUAGCCCGCGUGGCCGGAUCAUGUGCUCGUGUCGGUAUGUGUUUGGUACCGUUUUGGUCCUGGUGUGAUCCAGUAUCUUUCUGUGGGCACCAUGGGCUAUUGGCAUGGGUAAUUUCUGCAGGGUUCUCGUUUUUG
Molecule: non-coding RNA, 1038 nt
Organism: Pelobates cultripes (western spadefoot toad)
Lineage: Eukaryota; Metazoa; Chordata; Amphibia; Anura; Pelobatidae
Source: the annotation of a GenBank genome assembly